RNAcentral lists this unclassified non-coding RNA (323 nucleotides) under soil metagenome. RNAcentral's name for it is "partial contains 5.8S ribosomal RNA, internal transcribed spacer 2, and large subunit ribosomal RNA". The stretch from base 1 to 120 matches the Rfam family "5.8S ribosomal RNA", at positions 35 to 154 of the family's 154-position model. The record is from RNAcentral.
GAUGAAGAACGCAGCGAAAUGCGUUAAGUAGUGUGAAUUGCAGAAUUCGGUGAAUCAUCGAAUCUUUGAACGCACAUUGCGCCCCUUGGUAUUCCAUGGGGCAUGCCUGUUCGAGCGUCAUUUGUACCUUCAAGCUUUGCUUGGUGUUGGGUGUUUGUCCUGAGGGACUCGCCUUAAAGUAAUUGGCAGCCAGUGUUUGGUUUUGAAGCGCAGCACAAGUCGCGAUUCAAAGCUAUACGCCCGCUUCCACAAGCCUUUUUCACUUUUGACCUCGGAUCAGGUAGGGAUACCCGCUGAACUUAAGCAUAUCAAUAAGCGGAGGA